Long non-coding RNA from Cygnus olor (mute swan), 2728 nucleotides. RefSeq lists it as uncharacterized. The transcript has 2 exons. The record is from RefSeq and is a predicted model, not a curated record. Lineage: Eukaryota; Metazoa; Chordata; Aves; Anseriformes; Anatidae.
UGUUCCCAGAUGAGAAUAAAAAGAUUUAAAAUCAGAAUAUGUGAAAACAGGUAGAACCCUUUCCAUCUUCAAAGAAUGCAAUUUGUUGUAUUCUUUUAAUACCAUAAAGCUUUACAAUACGAUUCUAAAACUAUACAGUGAUCUAUGUAAUCUCUAAUUUUAAGUAGCCUUGAGAAACAAAGAAAAUUGAGGUCUGUUAUUUUUCUCUUUUCAGUACAGAGAACGGUAGAUGAAGACUUUGUUGUGCUUCUACUUGUUUCAGUUACAAAAGAUAUUGUAAAGAUUCUGUUACAUCCCUGUAAACCUCCUUGGGAACUCCAAAUGGAAAACACUAAUCUUUUCAUGGAAGUCAUCUGGAACGUCAAUUCACCUCUGUAGAGCAACAUUUAUACCAACUUGAAGAAGAUGAAGCAAAGGGGAGAGAGAGAACCUGGUCAGAUAUUUAAAACCAGGACUUGUACUUUAAAUCCCACAUGUUAAAAAUGAGAAGAAAUAUUUGUUUUUCUGACUCUGUCUCCCUGACUCUGAACACAUAACUGUUAUGAACUCAGCUUUCUGGACUCUGUGACUGCUCCUAGACUGGGGUCACUUGGCUAGCAGUGCUGCACUCAGCAGCUGCACAACAAGUUCACCAGGCAGCCCUCUCUAGCAGUGUUUAUUAUACUUGUGUUUGCAGCAUGUCUUGCUGCGUAAUGCACACAGCCUCAUUGCUGGUAGAUUCUGUGUAGCUUGCCUGUUUUAGUGAGUUCAUUAAAAAUGUCGUUAUCUAAUUUUUCUAGGAAAACUAAGGGAAAAAAACCUGCUUUUCUGAAACUGUACAUCUGAUUGUAUAGAUGCUCCCCUGCUGCUGGCAAAAACUCCAGGAAAUAUGGGACAAUCCCUGGAAGAGAACAAGAGGUGAUUGAAUGCGCAGCCAUGCAGCUAACACACUGAGUGGGCAUUCCAGCAGUCUGGAUAAAAGUUAUUUAUGUUGUGACUACAUCUAAAAGGGCCUGAGCACUUUCCAAAUACAAGAGAAAAAACAAUCAUUGCACCCAAGAACUAGAAUAUAAGAAAACAGGCGUGUAUUGAAGGCUAUUUGAGGACAGAGCAAAGAAAAUAGGUGACGAACUUGAAGACAGAUAUAAUAAAGUUUCUGAAGGUGGUUGGUUGGUUUAAUAUCAAUACUAUUGAGUCAUACUAGUACCAAUACUAAUAAUCCAAGCUCUCAUAUCUUUUACAGGUAUCUUCCCUAUUUAUCUCGUCUGGAAACCCUAGUUCCACUAAUAAAAUCCCUUAUGCUCUUCCUUUCACCAUGUAAAUAAUCUUUUCAGUCAAAAGACGUAAACUAAAUAAUAUGUCCCUGAGCAAUUAACAGAUGAUUGUAAUUCGGGGGGGGGGGGGAUUGGGUAAUUUGCAUGUAUGCAGAAUUUGCCAGUGAAUAAAUCUUGCUGAGCAGAAGCGUGUCCCCUGAUCUCAAUCCUAAUGACUGGAGACAAUCUUCAAAAUAAGAGGAUAAACUGAUGCUGUUAUAGCAGUGUGAUGUUGUAGAAAUGCUGAGAAAUUUGAAAUUGUUUGUUUUGCCUGGUGCUCUAGGGAUUGCAGAACAAUACUGUCUUCAAGUGUUCAGCAAAAUCAAAAUGUACCAAUUAAAAUACAAUUUGUGAUAGGGAGUGGAGAAACAAAAGCCUAAUAUAAUUUAUUGGACUGCCUGGUGAGAUACAUUCUAGCCAAAGUCUGUAAGAAAUUCCAAUGAUGUCCUUUCUAACAGCUUAGGAAGCAGCCUCGGAGACAUUUUUGGUCAGGGCUGGACUGUCUGGAUAAAUCCUAGGAUGAGAUUCUUGCUUUUCUAACUCUGGACAGCACUGUGAAAGGGCAGUUGACCUACUUUAGUAGGUGGAGGUGGUAUAGUCACACCCCUAUUCUUCAAAGCAUAGCCCUAAAGGUCAUUCCAGACCUUUCCUUCGUUGUCAAGAGUUUCAGGUGAUUUAAGAGCUUUGACCAUUAGUAAAGAGUUGCUUACAGAUUUUGAAGGCAACAAAUUUGGAUUAAACUUCCUAAAUCCUGUCAAUCUCUGUUUUUUUACCACAGUCUGGAAUAUGGCUACAGAAUGUCUCUGUGUUGGACUUACUUCUGUAUCAGGUUUCUUGCACUUCUCUUUAUGGUUUAAUGAGGAAGAAAGUGAGUAAAAUUCCUAUCAGAAACAAAAUCACCGAUGGGUUGAAGAAGGCACAAUCUUGUAGUCUGAACAGGGCUGAAAGAUGGAAGCUGAAAAAAAAGACAGCUUAACGGAGAUGGGAGGAACUAGUGUGUUGGAAAGGAAGAGCUGUACUUGGAAGGAGCUGAAAAUCAUAUUUCUUUGGGGCUUGUUUGCAUAGGUUUUAGGGGAAAGCCAGAGAAGGUUGAAUGAUAAGACUGGAAUAUAUAAAUUUGGGGUGUCUGAUUUAUUUCCUCAGCCUUUUCUGAGAUAGGUAUAGCAUCCAAAAUAUUGCUGAAGUUAAUUUGUUGCAUGGCAUAUAAAUCUUAUUAUUUAGGCAAAAGAAUGAGAAAAUAGGAAACCAAAAUGACAUGGAUUUUGAGAGUAGAAUUUAUGCUGUGGUUCAUUUCUUGUAUUUAUCCCUUUUAAUGUUCUUCUCUCAUAAUAGGGCAUCAUCUCCUGCCUAAGAAAGAGAAGCCUAGGUCAGUCAAAGUUUUGUAGAGCAACAUUAAGCAAUAUAAAUUUAAUUUAAAUCUGCUUUCACAGUCAAAA